RNAcentral lists this non-coding RNA (762 nucleotides) under Alectorobius rioplatensis. Lineage: Eukaryota; Metazoa; Arthropoda; Arachnida; Ixodida; Argasidae. The record is from RNAcentral.
ACGGGAAUGAAAUGUCUUAAAUAUCUUGUUUCUUCCAAACUAAAUAAAAAAAAGUUUGGAAGAAAAAGAAUAUUUUCAUAGUACGUAAAUUUUAAAAUUAAAAGUACUUUAUGUUAAUUAAUUAAUAUUUUGUAAUAGAAGUUUAAUUUAUUUUUUUAAAAUUUAAAAAUAGACUUUUAAAAAAUUCUGGCGAAGCCUGUGCCAGCCGCCGCGGUUAUACAGGCAGGAUAAUAGUAUUUGCUUUAAUUAAAUAUUAAUGUUAGUUUUAAUUAAAAUUAAUUAGGUGAAAUUAUUAAUUUUGGUUCAUUUUUAAAAUUUUUUAAAUUUGAAAUGGAAGAAUAGGAUUAGAUACCCUAGUAUUAUAAAAUGUUAUUUUGAGAUUAUCUAGAAUUUAGAAAAAACUAAAUGAAGUGGCGGUAUCUUAAGCUUUUUAGAGGAGUUUAUUCUUUAAUUGAUGUGACUCAAGAAUCUUACUUAAUUUGGUUAGGUCAGUUUGUAUAUCGCUAUCAUUUUAUGAUGUUGUUAAGCAAAUUAUAAAGUAAAAGUUUUAUUUGAAAUGUUAGGUCAAAAUGCAGCAAAAGAUUAAGCUUGAAAUAAAUUACAAUGAUUUUUAUUUAUUAUUAGGAAGAAUAUUAUAGGAUUUAAUAGUAAGUUUGAAUUAUAAUGUUAAGCUGAAUUAAGCUCUAGGAUAUGCACAUAUCGCCCGUCACUCUCAUAUAGGAGAUAAGUCGUAACAAAGUAAAGGUACCGGAAGGUGUUUUU